GUGGGGAAUCUUGCGCAAUGGGCGAAAGCCUGACGCAGCCAUGCCGCGUGAAUGAUGAAGGUCUUAGGAUUGUAAAAUUCUUUCACCGGGGACGAUAAUGACGGUACCCGGAGAAGAAGCUCCGGCUAACUUCGUGCCAGCAGCCGCGGUAAUACGAAGGGGGCUAGCGUUGCUCGGAAUUACUGGGCGUAAAGGGCGCGUAGGCGGACAGCUUAGUCAGAGGUGAAAGCCCAGGGCUCAACCUUGGAAUUGCCUUUGAUACUGGCUGUCUUGAGUUUGGGAGAGGGGAGUGGAACUCCGAGUGUAGAGGUGAAAUUCGUAGAUAUUCGGAAGAACACCAGUGGCGAAGGCGACUCACUGGCCCAAUACUGACGCUGAGGCGCGAAAGCGUGGGGAGCAAACAGGAUUAGAAACCCUGGUAGUCC
Molecule: ribosomal RNA, 425 nt
Filed under: uncultured bacterium
Lineage: Bacteria
Description: partial 16S ribosomal RNA
Rfam family: Bacterial small subunit ribosomal RNA
Source: RNAcentral